GAUGAACGCUGGCGGCGUGCCUAAUACAUGCAAGUCGAGCGGACGCACGAGAAGCUUUCUUCUCUGAUGUUAGCGGCGGGCGGGUGAGUAACACAUGGAUACGCUCCCUAUAAGACUGGGAUAACUUCGUUAAACCGUAGCUAAUACCGGAUAAUAUUUUGAACCGCAGGGUUCAAAAGUGAAAGACGGUCUUGCGGUCACUGAUAGAUGGAGCCGCGCUGGAUUAGCUAGUUGGUAAGGUAACGGCUUACCAAGGCAACGAUGCGUAGCCGACCUGAGAGGGUGAUCAGCCACACUGGAACUGAGACACGGUCCAGACUCCUACGGGAGGCAGCAGUAGGGAAUCUUCGACAAUGGGCGAAAGCCUGACGGAGCAACGCCGCGUGAGUGAUGAAGGUCUUCGGAUCGUAAACCUCUGUUAUAAGGGAAGAAAAGAUGUGUAAGUAAAUGUGGACAUCAUGACGGUACCUAAUGAGUAAGCAACGGCUAACUACGUG
RNAcentral lists this ribosomal RNA (497 nucleotides) under uncultured bacterium. Its description in RNAcentral is "partial 16S ribosomal RNA". It matches the Rfam family "Bacterial small subunit ribosomal RNA", at positions 28 to 507 of the family's 1533-position model. The record is from RNAcentral.